AAUCCAUAGGUUAAUGAGGCGAACCGGGGGAACUGAAACAUCUAAGUACCCCGAGGAAAAGAAAUCAACCGAGAUUCCCCCAGUAGCGGCGAGCGAACGGGGAGGAGCCCAGAGCCUGAAUCAGCAUGUGUGUUAGUGGAAGCGUCUGGAAAGGCGCGCGAUACAGGGUGACAGCCCCGUACACAAAAGCGCAUGUGCUGUGAGCUCGAUGAGUAGGGCGGGACACGUGGUAUCCUGUCUGAAUAUGGGGGGACCAUCCUCCAAGGCUAAAUACUCCUGACUGACCGAUAGUGAACCAGUACCGUGAGGGAAAGGCGAAAAGAACCCCGGCGAGGGGAGUGAAAAAGAACCUGAAACCGUGUACGUACAAGCAGUGGGAGCCCCACCACUAAGCCAGUGGUGAACUCCACAUACGCAUCCUUUGCUGAGGAUACGGUUAACGGAGCGAAAGCGACGU
RNAcentral lists this ribosomal RNA (457 nucleotides) under Salmonella enterica subsp. enterica serovar Heidelberg. Its description in RNAcentral is "partial 23S ribosomal RNA". It matches the Rfam family "Bacterial large subunit ribosomal RNA", at positions 161 to 643 of the family's 2925-position model. The record is from RNAcentral. Lineage: Bacteria; Pseudomonadati; Pseudomonadota; Gammaproteobacteria; Enterobacterales; Enterobacteriaceae.